AAUAAUAAUAAAUGACCACAUGCAUAGCCUGUGUUGAGUUGUUAUCAACAUACCUAUACAGAAACAGACACGAUUUUUGCACCGUUUUUUCUGAUAACGGAAAUAGACUCCUUCAUGCGCAAGUUCCACUUGAGCUCGGCUGGUUCUUAUUAUAAAUAAUUGUGUAAUAUAUUUUUGCAGAUAAUUUCAAUUAUUGCGAGUGUUGUGGCUUAGAAACAAUUAGGCAGUUAAUAAUAAACAAGGCUCGGGCACUAUCAAACCUUUUUCCUAAAAAGCAAAAAGCUGCUUCUGCUGCAUCACAAGAUUUAUUUGAUGACUUUCAGUUUGAUAACGAAGAGUUGACGCUAAUCAAGGAUUCAUUGAUGAUUGAUGAUGCUUUUUCGGACAACAAGAAAAAACAGCUACUGUCAGUCAGCAGUCAGUAAUGAUGCUUCUUCGGACAACAAGGAAAAACUCAGCAGUCAGCAGUGAUUUUAUUUCUUUAGAAGAAGAAGAGAAAGAAAACAUAUCAAAUGGCGGGCAGACCCCCAAAAAAACGUAAAUAUUCAAGCAGGUUUAGUACAGAAUAUCAGCCCCCCAGGACUAACUAUUUAUAUUUAGCACUUUCAAACUUGAAUGGUGUUACCAUUCAAGUAUCAGUACAUUCAAUUGGUUCUAUGAUUUAUGAAUGUGUUCAAUGUCAAGCACUUCAUUUUUUAGGUGAAAAAAUUAAAAAUCAUUUGAAGACUGUAUCAAAGAACUUAAAACAAAGAGAUUUAUAGAGAGUAAACCUUAAAAAUAUGCGACGUAGUUUCUUUGCGGUUCUUCGACGCUUGCGCUUUGGAACCGCGUUAAACUUAGUUUUUAAGUAAAUAUUGACGUCAAUCAACAAAUGGUAAAAAUAUUUUUUGACAUACCUAAUACUAUUACUAUUAAUAAGAGUUAUUUACAUUACCUAUAUUAACGAUUGAAUUUGAUUGUUUUGUUCAUUUGUCUUAGUUUAUUUUGAAUGUUGAUUUAAAAUAAAAAUAAUUUGUGUAAAAAC
Long non-coding RNA from Ostrinia nubilalis (European corn borer), 1024 nucleotides. RefSeq lists it as uncharacterized. The transcript is spliced from 2 exons. NCBI's taxonomy places the organism in Eukaryota, Metazoa, Arthropoda, Insecta, Lepidoptera, Crambidae. The record is from RefSeq and is a predicted model, not a curated record.